This 499-nucleotide ribosomal RNA is filed under the name uncultured Glomeromycotina. RNAcentral's name for it is "partial small subunit ribosomal RNA". It matches the Rfam family "Eukaryotic small subunit ribosomal RNA", at positions 591 to 1091 of the family's 1831-position model. The record is from RNAcentral. Lineage: Eukaryota; Fungi; Glomeromycota.
CCAAUAGCGUAUAUUAAAGUUGUUGCAGUUAAAAAGCUCGUAGUUGAAUUUCGGGAUCAAAUAAUCGGUCGUGCCUCCGGUACGUACUGGUUUUAUUGGUUCCUCCCUUCUGACGAACCAUGAUGUCAUUAAUUUGAUGUGGUGGAGAAUCAGGACUGUUACCUUGAAAAAAUUAGAGUGUUUAAAGCAGGCUAACGCUUGAAUACAUUAGCAUGGAAUAAUGAAAUAGGACGUUCGACCCUAUUUUGUUGGUUUCUAGGAUCGACGUAAUGAUUAAUAGGGAUAGUUGGGGGCAUUAGUAUUCAAUUGUCAGAGGUGAAAUUCUUGGAUUUAUUGAAGACUAACUACUGCGAAAGCAUUUGCCAAGGAUGUUUUCAUUAAUCAAGAACGAAAGUUAGGGGAUCGAAGACGAUCAGAUACCGUCGUAGUCUUAACCAUAAACUAUGCCGACUAGGGAUCGGAUGAUGUUAAUUUUUUAAUGACUCAUUCGGCGCCUUAC